Molecule: transfer RNA, 77 nt
Filed under: Bacteroidota bacterium
Lineage: Bacteria; Pseudomonadati; Bacteroidota
Also listed under: 1 other name
Description: Bacteroidetes bacterium (activated sludge metagenome) tRNA-Pro
Rfam family: tRNA
About the family: Transfer RNA (tRNA) molecules are approximately 80 nucleotides in length.
Source: RNAcentral
CCGGGUGAAGCUCAGUCAGGUCGAGCACUGGUUUUGGGAACCAGAUGCCGCAGGUUCGAAUCCUGCUACCCGGACCA